UGGGGAAUAUUGCACAAUGGAGGGAACUCUGAUGCAGCGACGCCGCGUGAACGAAGAAGGCUUUCGAGUCGUAAAGUUCUUUUAUAUGGGAAGAUAAUGACGGUACCAUAAGAAAAAGCCCCGGCUAACUACGUGCCAGCAGCCGCGGUAAUACGUAGGGGGCUAGCGUUGUCCGGAAUCACUGGGCGUAAAGGGUUCGCAGGCGGAAAUGCAAGUCAGGUGUAAAAGGCAGUAGCUUAACUACUGUAAGCAUUUGAAACUGCAUAUCUUGAGAAGAGUAGAGGUAAGUGGAAUUUUUAGUGUAGCGGUGAAAUGCGUAGAUAUUAAAAAGAAUACCGGUGGCGAAGGCGACUUACUGGGCUCAUUCCGACGCUGAGGAACGAAAGCGUGGGUAGCAAACAGG
RNAcentral lists this ribosomal RNA (403 nucleotides) under Verrucomicrobiota bacterium. RNAcentral describes it as "Verrucomicrobia bacterium partial 16S ribosomal RNA". It matches the Rfam family "Bacterial small subunit ribosomal RNA", at positions 355 to 776 of the family's 1533-position model. The record is from RNAcentral. Lineage: Bacteria; Pseudomonadati; Verrucomicrobiota. RNAcentral also lists the same sequence under 1 other name.